Long non-coding RNA from Amphiprion ocellaris (clown anemonefish), 351 nucleotides. The record is from Ensembl. NCBI's taxonomy places the organism in Eukaryota, Metazoa, Chordata, Actinopteri, Pomacentridae.
GAACAAUUCAAAGGUCCCUCUCUAUCUCCCCACACAUCCACCAACCACUGGAACACAUCUCCAAAGUUCUGCUGGACCAGCUCAGCUUCCCCUCAGAAGAAGUGCUGCCACCUGCCAGAUGAAGGAGCCUUUUGAGAGGCAGCUGGCAUCAUGAUUGGACUGUACUUUGGUCUGUUCCAAUCCAGCUUCAGCUCCAGAGACGGCAGGCGGGACGAGUCAACGGAGGCCGGAUGGACGAAGACUAAAGAACUACAGACUCUUCACAACCUGCUCAAACUCUUGGUACAGGACCUCACCACACGGGUCAAGAAGGUUGCUUUGUAGAACUGUUCCAGAAAACCUCACUAAACC